GACGUAGGGUGCGAGCGUUGUCCGGAUUUAUUGGGCGUAAAGAGCUCGUAGGCGGCUCGUCGCGUCUGCCGUGAAAACCCGCAGCUCAACUGCGGGCUUGCGGUUGAUACGGGCGGGCUGGAGUUCGGUAGGGGAGACUGGAAUUCCUGGUGUAGCGGUGAAAUGCGUAGAUAUCAGGAGGAAUACCGGUGGCGAAAGCGACUCUCUGGACGGCAACUGACGCUGAGGCACGAAAGCGUGGGGAGCAAACAGG
Molecule: ribosomal RNA, 253 nt
Filed under: uncultured bacterium
Lineage: Bacteria
Description: partial 16S ribosomal RNA
Rfam family: Bacterial small subunit ribosomal RNA
Source: RNAcentral